Molecule: long non-coding RNA, 2183 nt
Filed under: Lynx pardinus (Iberian lynx)
Lineage: Eukaryota; Metazoa; Chordata; Mammalia; Carnivora; Felidae
Source: RNAcentral
GGCUCAAGCCGUGGGACCGGUGAGUGUCACCCCCAGCCCAGAUCCGAAGCGCUUUGCGACCCCGAAGGGGCAGGUUUGUCCAUGGAGCGCUGAGGAACAGGGGGCGUCUUCCUCUCCCUUUUCCCAUUUCCUUUUUGACCGUCUCUUAUCUCAGGAGAGGGCAGCCCAGCUCCUGGCCCCUGCCAAGAACAAGAACCUUCCAUGGUCACCCUCCACCUCUCCACCUUGUUGGCAGGAGGCAGCCCGAAGUAGGGGAAAGGUCUCAGCUGGUAGGCUGAGUCCCGGCUCCUGCCCCUCUCCUCGUCCUCCUAGGGACAGGGAAGAGGCGGCUGGUACCGGGAAGCGUCAAGGUAGCCGCGCCCUUGGCUAGGGUCACAUCCACCUUCCUGGGAAGGACGUACUCUCCCCGUGCCAGGUGCUUCCGGAGCGGCACCUCGUCCAGAGAGGAAGUCCUGGUUCCCGCCGUGAACCUGGGGAUGGCCCCCCUUGGGUUCCCAGGACCCUCACCCAGAUUUUCUCGUCUGCCCUCCCACUGCCCUCUAAGCCCAGGAGGAACCUGAGGCUGGGGAGGAGGAGCCUAGUGAUCAGGUUGCUUCUUGCCUUGGUGUUUCAUCUGUUCAUUACCAUCGCUGUUCUACCCACGGUGGUCACACCCUUUCCAGAAAUUCUAGGCUGGUAACCGCGAAAACUGGAGAGAGCAAGAACUGGGAGAACUGGAGAAAACCGCUCUCAUCUGACUUGAUUCUGGCUGUGAACGAACGCUGCAUCGUAAUAAACAACUUUUGCAAAGCUUCUUCUGAGGUACUAGCCCAUUUGAUCCUUAACUCAGCAUUUUGAGGUGUAGAUAUUACACCUCAAAGGUGUUGUAUUCCUUUUUGCCAACGAGUAAGUGGAAUAAGGUUUAGAGAGCUAGUGUGAUCUGCCUUGCAGGAGUUGUGGUCUUUCGUUUCUAACUCCACACAACCUAUUAUGCUCCCCCUUUGAUCCUCUCUUAAAAUGAGCUUCGAGUUGAGGGAGCUUUGUUCUCCUUGAGUCUUGGUUGGCCUCCUCAUGGCUCUCUCUUGGACAGCAUAUGGUUAGUGUCCAAGGUGAAUGUGCCCAACACAUUUCUGAUGCCCUCUCUCCUUUUUCCAGUUUCCGUGAAGUCCUUAUCCCUGAGUUCUUUCAAAUGCUGGAUGUAUUCAGAGCCUCAAAAAAGCCUCUGCCAGGGUUAAUUCAUUACAGACACCCCUCAUCCUCAUCCCUUCUUGCUAGGGAGGUGUGAGAUCUGGGAAAUUCUGAGUCUGAGGGUCAUUUACAAUUUUUCAGAAAUUGGCCUGGGUACAGCCUCACAACGCUCUGUCUCUGAGACAGAUUUUCCUCUGAAAUCCUUGCCUUCUUAACGUUGACACUGGACUGUUCUACCUGAUUAGUGUCCCCAAAUGGAUUAUCUGUCUUGAGUAGUACUAACAAUAUUCCCCCUGUGAGUGAAUAUUCACAUUUGUACUCCCAUGACAUCAAUGACCUUCACAACCCACCUGAAGGUUACCUUGUAAGGUAGAUUUUACUAUCCCCAUUUUCAAGAUGAGGGAUCAAGGUGGGCCACGAAGGUGAUGUGGCUGUUCUAUGAAUGACUGAGCUGUGAUUUUGCUCCCUUACAACAACUUUCCUAGAGGAUCAGGAAUUGACUCCAGCCUCCCUGCUCUAUCAGUUACUGACUAUACUAAAAUAGGAUGUGGAGAGGAUAGGACAUGAGACUUCUCUGUCUCCUAGUGUCUUCAUCUGGCACACUGACUCAGAACAUACGUAGCCCUACCUCAAACCCCUGUAGUAAAACUGGCCCUGAAGGAGCCCCGGGAGCCUCUCGAGGUUCUCAUAAAAGUUUUCCCUGUUCCCUAAUUGGCAAGGGAUAGGACAGACUUUUCCUCUUUGCCCAGGCUUGCCCUGGUUCUCAUUGCAGUUCCUCAUGCUUGGUGGGAGGAGCAAGAGUGAGUCACUCUGGAGAAGCCCUUACCUGUGUGUGGCCCUUGUUUUCUCUCUCAUGUCAUAGGCUCUGGGGGUGACUCUUCUCAGAUUCCUCUGGAACUAAGCCCUUUGCUGGACCCAUGCUCCAGCCUGUGCCCCCAUGACCAGGUGGAUAGAACUCCUUGUGUCUAUGACCCAGAACCCUGGCUGACCACAUUGAAGCAGGAUGCUCCAGCAGG